This 489-nucleotide ribosomal RNA is filed under the name uncultured archaeon. Its description in RNAcentral is "bacterial SSU rRNA". It matches the Rfam family "Archaeal small subunit ribosomal RNA", at positions 54 to 538 of the family's 1478-position model. The record is from RNAcentral.
ACGGUCUUUUUCUUCUUCGGAGGGAGAAGUAACCCGGCGGACGGCUCAGUAACACGUGGACAACUUGCCCUUGGGACCGGGAUAACCCCUGGGAAACUGGGGCUAAUACCGGAUAGAGCAUCGGUUGCUGGAAUGCACGAUGUUCGAAAGCUGAGGCACCCAAGGAUAGGUCUGCGGCCGAUUAGGUUGUUGUUGAUGUGACGGAUCAACAAGCCUACGAUCGGUACGGGUUGUGAGAGCAAUAGCCCGGAGAUGGGUUCUGAGAAAAGAACCCAGGUCCUACGGGACGCAUCAGGCGCGAAAACUUUACAAUGUGCGAAAGCACGAUAAGGGAACUCUGAGUGCCUCCUAAGGAGGCUGUUCAGGUGUCUAAAAAGCAUCUGGAGGAANGGCUGGGUAAGACCGGUGCCAGCCGCCGCGGUAACACCGGCAGCUCAAGUGGUAGCCACGUUUAUUGGGUCUAAAGCGUCCGUAGCCGGCUGAGUAAGU